UACGUAGGUGACAAGCGUUGUCCGGAUUUAUUGGGCGUAAAGAGCUCGUAGGCGGCUUGUCGCGUCGUCUGUGAAAUCCCGCGGCUCAACUGCGGGCUGGCAGUCGAUACGGGCAGGCUGGAGUUCGGUAGGGGAGACUGGAAUUCCCGGUGUAGCGGUGAAAUGCGCAGAUAUCAGGAGGAACACCGGUGGCGAAGGCGGGUCUCUGGGCCGUAACUGACGCUGAGGAGCGAAAGCAUGGGGAGCGAACAGG
This 253-nucleotide ribosomal RNA is filed under the name uncultured bacterium. Its description in RNAcentral is "partial 16S ribosomal RNA". It matches the Rfam family "Bacterial small subunit ribosomal RNA", at positions 524 to 776 of the family's 1533-position model. The record is from RNAcentral.